AGAAUGCAAAGAAAUGGAUCAGCUAGCCGAGGGUUGGAGAAGACCAGGCUGAGGCUGUGUCGGGAAGCCAGGAUUCCAGAAUCAGCAUUCCUCACUGGCCUCACAAGGGAAAGCUGGGAAGCCCGGUGCUGGUGUGCAGUAGAAGGACACUCGUGAAGUCGUAGCCAUAAAGUGUGUAGCCAAGAAAAGUCUGAACAAGGCAUCGGUGGAGAACCUCCUCACGGAGAUUGAGAUCCUCAAGGGCAUUCGACAUCCCCACAUUGUGCAGCUGAAAGACUUUCAGGUGUGAGCCUGGGGCGGGGCCGCUGCCAAAGGGAGCUGGAGAAGGGACACUCUCUUCAGGCCGCCUCUCUACCUCUAAACACAGUGGGACAGUGACAAUAUCUACCUCAUCAUGGAGUUUUGCGCAGGGGGCGACCUGUCUCGCUUCAUCCAUACCCGCAGGAUUCUGCCUGAGAAGGUGGCACGUGUCUUCAUGCAGCAAUUAGCUAGCGCCCUGCAAUUCCUGCAUGAACGGAAUAUCUCUCACCUGGAUCUGAAGCCACAGAACAUUCUACUGAGCUCCUUGGAGAAGCCCCACCUAAAACUGGCAGACUUUGGUUUCGCACAACACAUGUCCCCGUGGGAUGAGAAGCACGUGCUCCGUGGCUCCCCCCUCUACAUGGCCCCCGAGAUGGUGUGCCAGCGGCAGUAUGACGCCCGCGUGGACCUCUGGUCCGUGGGGGUCAUCCUGUAUGGUGAGACCUCUUUUCCCUGCUUCUCACCCUGAGGCCUACACUGUUUCCUCAGGCAAGGCCUCUCUGGGCCACUUCUGAAGGGUUCUGAUGAAAACUGACUGCUGGCCCAGGGCCCCUGCUGAGGGGCGUCAGGCCAGGCUUGACCCAUUCCCUCCCAGCCUCCACUCUGCCUCCCUUCCAC
Molecule: small RNA, 918 nt
Filed under: Pan troglodytes (chimpanzee)
Lineage: Eukaryota; Metazoa; Chordata; Mammalia; Primates; Hominidae
Description: retained intron
Source: RNAcentral